UUGCUAAAGAGGAGAAGCCGUCCAUUUCUUCGUACAAACAGGCUGCUGAGGUGGUGAAGAGCGGAGAAGCCCCAGGUUGGGGAAAGAUGAUUGACAUCUCCGCCAAGGAAGACAGAUUCGGGGUUGGUUAUCAGCGGGCCGAGGCUCGUCUGGGCAAGGCAGAGGUCGUCGUCAGCCUUUCACGUUCACCAUUGCUGGAAUGCUGGAUCCAGAU
RNAcentral lists this long non-coding RNA (214 nucleotides) under Lathyrus oleraceus (garden pea). RNAcentral describes it as "Pisum sativum (pea) long non-coding RNA (PSAT_LNC019057)". The record is from RNAcentral. Lineage: Eukaryota; Viridiplantae; Streptophyta; Magnoliopsida; Fabales; Fabaceae.